Long non-coding RNA from Zingiber officinale, 616 nucleotides. RefSeq lists it as uncharacterized. Lineage: Eukaryota; Viridiplantae; Streptophyta; Magnoliopsida; Zingiberales; Zingiberaceae. The record is from RefSeq and is a predicted model, not a curated record. The transcript has 2 exons.
CAAGUCAUCUUUACAUGACUUACUUUGCUGGAUGCAUAGUUCACUAGUCGCCACUGCUGCUAGUGCAAAACUGUCAUGAAGUACAUUCCUGACUUCUGCCAAUAGAUCUCAUGAAGUCAACACCGCAAAAGCUGUCACUCAAUUCUGAUCAUUCCACAUUAGAUUGAAGUUGCAGUCGUCGUUGAAUCCAUUCUCCCUGCAGUGGAGGAGUUUGUUCAUUCUUUGACAUGCACAAAUGAGUCUUCAACCCAAUGAUAUCAGCCUCAUAGAAAGCUGGCUUGUCAUGCUCAGAGGCAAAGGAGAGGAAGAUGGCAAAAGACAAGUCAAUUAGCUUAUGAUGGCAGCUCACAGAUGAGAUAAAAAAAAAUGUGGAACUUCCUCCAAUGGUGUGGAAUAUUCCUGGCAUAUACUCUGCUGAAGUAUGCUGUGUAUCUUUUUUAAAGAGAAAAAGAAGAAGAAGAGAUUGCCUUUGAAAUUUCGUGUUGUGUCUUUCUUAUCAUUCAUAAAGGAGAUUAAUAGUUAAUCAUCAAUUAGAUGGAUGAGGAUUUCAUGUUGAAUAUCUUGUAUUCUUUUUUAUUAAAAAAAAAGCCAUUUUGAGGCUUUUUAUUGGCUUAAA